CUACGGGCCGCUGCAGUGGGGAAUAUUGGACAGUGGGCGCAAGCCUGAUCCAGCAAUGCCGCGUGAGUGAAGACGGCCUUAGGGUUGUAAAACUCUUUCGCUAGGGAAGAUAAUGACUGUACCUAGUAAAGAAGUCCCGGCUAACUCCGUGCCAGCAGCCGCGGUAAUACGGAGGGGACUAGCGUUGUUCGGAAUUACUGGGCGUAAAGAGUUCGUAGGCGGACUGACAAGUUAGAGGUGAAAUCCCAGGGCUCAGCCCUGGAACGGCCUUUAAAACUGUCAGUCUAGAGACCGGAAGAGGUGAGGGGAAUACCUAGUGUAGAGGUGAAAUUCGUAGAUAUUAGGUGGAACACCAGUGGCGAAGGCGCCUAACUGGUCCGGUACUGACGCUGAGGAACGAAAGCGUGGGGAGCAAACAGGAUUAGAUACCCGCGUAGUC
RNAcentral lists this ribosomal RNA (439 nucleotides) under uncultured bacterium. RNAcentral's name for it is "partial 16S ribosomal RNA". It matches the Rfam family "Bacterial small subunit ribosomal RNA", at positions 339 to 795 of the family's 1533-position model. The record is from RNAcentral.